CAAUAGCGUAUAUUAAAGUUGUUGCAGUUAAAAAACUCGUAGUUGGAUUUCUGGUUGAAGCGACCGGUCGGGCGUUGAUUCGUCUGCACUGGAGUCGGUUUUGGCCAUCCUCUAGGAAAGUGCGUCUGGUAUUAAGUUAUCGGGCGUAUGAUCCUGGUCUUUUACUGUGAAAAAAUUAGAGUGUUUAAAGCAGGCCUUCGCCUUGAAUACAUUAGCAUGGAAUAAUAAGAUAGGACUUUGGUCUAUUUUGUUGGUUUGCAGACCGAAGUAAUGAUUAAUAGGGAUAGUUGGGGGUAUUUAUAUUCCGAUGUCAGAGGUGAAAUUCUUAGAUUUUCGGAAGAUAAACUUAUGCGAAAGCAUUUACCAAGGAUGUUUUCAUUAA
RNAcentral lists this ribosomal RNA (382 nucleotides) under uncultured eukaryote. RNAcentral's name for it is "partial 18S ribosomal RNA". It matches the Rfam family "Eukaryotic small subunit ribosomal RNA", at positions 592 to 976 of the family's 1831-position model. The record is from RNAcentral.